UUUCCGUAGGUGAACCUGCGAAAGGAUCAUUGUCGAAACCU
Molecule: ribosomal RNA, 41 nt
Filed under: Breynia amoebiflora
Lineage: Eukaryota; Viridiplantae; Streptophyta; Magnoliopsida; Malpighiales; Phyllanthaceae
Description: Sauropus amoebiflorus partial 18S ribosomal RNA
Source: RNAcentral